This 1460-nucleotide ribosomal RNA is filed under the name uncultured bacterium. RNAcentral describes it as "bacterial SSU rRNA". It matches the Rfam family "Bacterial small subunit ribosomal RNA". The record is from RNAcentral.
AUUGAACGCUGGCGGCAGGCCUAACACAUGCAAGUCGAGCGGUAGCACAGAGAGCUUGCUCUCGGUGACGAGCGGCGGACGGGUGAGUAAUGUCUGGGAAACUGCCUGAUGGAGGGGGAUAACUACUGGAAACGGUAGCUAAUACCGCAUAACGUCGCAAGACCAAAGUGGGGGACCUUCGGGCCUCAUGCCAUCAGAUGUGCCCAGAUGGGAUUAGCUAGUAGGUGGGGUAACGGCUCACCUAGGCGACGAUCCCUAGCUGGUCUGAGAGGAUGACCAGCCACACUGGAACUGAGACACGGUCCAGACUCCUACGGGAGGCAGCAGUGGGGAAUAUUGCACAAUGGGCGCAAGCCUGAUGCAGCCAUGCCGCGUGUGUGAAGAAGGCCUUCGGGUUGUAAAGCACUUUCAGCGGGGAGGAAGGCGUUAAGGUUAAUAACCUUGGCGAUUGACGUUACCCGCAGAAGAAGCACCGGCUAACUCCGUGCCAGCAGCCGCGGUAAUACGGAGGGUGCAAGCGUUAAUCGGAAUUACUGGGCGUAAAGCGCACGCAGGCGGUCUGUCAAGUCGGAUGUGAAAUCCCCGGGCUCAACCUGGGAACUGCAUUCGAAACUGGCAGGCUAGAGUCUUGUAGAGGGGGGUAGAAUUCCAGGUGUAGCGGUGAAAUGCGUAGAGAUCUGGAGGAAUACCGGUGGCGAAGGCGGCCCCCUGGACAAAGACUGACGCUCAGGUGCGAAAGCGUGGGGAGCAAACAGGAUUAGAUACCCUGGUAGUCCACGCCGUAAACGAUGUCGAUUUGGAGGUUGUGCCCUUGAGGCGUGGCUUCCGGAGCUAACGCGUUAAAUCGACCGCCUGGGGAGUACGGCCGCAAGGUUAAAACUCAAAUGAAUUGACGGGGGCCCGCACAAGCGGUGGAGCAUGUGGUUUAAUUCGAUGCAACGCGAAGAACCUUACCUGUCUUGACAUCCACAGAACUUAGCAGAGAUGCUUUGGUGCCUUCGGGAACUGUGAGACAGGUGCUGCAUGGCUGUCGUCAGCUCGUGUUGUGAAAUGUUGGGUUAAGUCCCGCAACGAGCGCAACCCUUAUCCUUUGUUGCCAGCGGUUAGGCCGGGAACUCAAAGGAGACUGCCAGUGAUAAACUGGAGGAAGGUGGGGAUGACGUCAAGUCAUCAUGGCCCUUACGACCAGGGCUACACACGUGCUACAAUGGCAUAUACAAAGAGAAGCGACCUCGCGAGAGCAAGCGGACCUCAUAAAGUAUGUCGUAGUCCGGAUUGGAGUCUGCAACUCGACUCCAUGAAGUCGGAAUCGCUAGUAAUCGUAGAUCAGAAUGCUACGGUGAAUACGUUCCCGGGCCUUGUACACACCGCCCGUCACACCAUGGGAGUGGGUUGCAAAAGAAGUAGGUAGCUUAACCUUCGGGAGGGCGCUUACCACUUUGUGAUUCAUGACUGGGGUG